AGCGGAAUCUAGUUUGUUCCCAAGUUACCAUAUCUCAGAGGCAUAUAAUGCUGUCCAAUUCUCUUGAAAACAAAAAUAAUUCAAGCUCCAAUAAUAAAGAUUUUUCUGCUUUGUUCUUCUGUGUCCCUUGUGCUGAGAAAACUCAUCUAACGUAUGGGCUUCGACUCUUGGGUCUGAAAAAGGCACCAACCCCUGCUAAAUUCUGAACACUGACAUUAGUCGUCAGCCUUGGGAGAAGCAACAAUCACAACGAUCUGCUUUUUAAUGAGACAAAGGACCAGAAAUUAAGACUAUU
RNAcentral lists this long non-coding RNA (295 nucleotides) under Pongo abelii (Sumatran orangutan). Its description in RNAcentral is "lincRNA". Lineage: Eukaryota; Metazoa; Chordata; Mammalia; Primates; Hominidae. The record is from RNAcentral.